This is a long non-coding RNA of Sceloporus undulatus (fence lizard), 666 nucleotides long. RefSeq lists it as uncharacterized. The record is from RefSeq and is a predicted model, not a curated record. Lineage: Eukaryota; Metazoa; Chordata; Lepidosauria; Squamata; Phrynosomatidae. The transcript has 3 exons.
GGAGGAAAACUUUCUGCAGAGUAGAACCUCCUCUAUCCAUGGAGUCUCUCCAUAUGGAAAAUUCUGAAUUGUAUGGAAAUACUGUGCACAUAGAGACCCAUGUUGAUUCAGCAAUUCAAAAGUCAGGCUUCAAGCUAUGGAUGAAGAGUCAUUAUGAAAAGUAACCCCCUUCCCAGGUAACUUCCAAGAAAAGUGAAGCAUGGGAAAAUGAAGCAUCAUGUUCAUAGAAGUCUAUAUAAUAUACUUUUUAAGAGACCAUUUAUAUUGAUGCUGAAGCCCAUAAUUCAGAUGAUUUGAAAGAUGAAUUAGAUAAAUUCAUGGAGGAUAAUCAAUGGCUACUACUAGUCCAGAUAAUUGUAGACUGCCUAAGCACUGAGCAGAACAGAAGCAGAAACAGUUGCUGAGAAGCAAUAGUUGGAGAUGGAUAUUGGUGGGCAUGUCUUCCUUGUCAGUAUUUCAGAGACAUCUUUGUGGUAAACACAAUACUGGACAGUUCUUUGGUAUCACACAACAAGGUUCUUAUGUAACUCAGGUUACAUAAGGAUCCCUUCUACAAGAUAUAGGUCAACCUCUCAAAGGGCAUUUUCCAUCUUGGCCCCUGGGAUCUGGAACACACUCCCCGAGGAGCUCCACACCGCCACCUCCCUGGAUCUCUUUAAAAAGAGA